CCUGCAAAACGUUCUAUCGCUGUCCCGACAAGCCGGGACGGAGGAAAGUCCGGGCAACAUAGAGCAUCCUGCUUCCUAACGGGAAGGCGCCCGCAGCGGGCGACAGCAAGUGCCACAGAAAAUAUACCGCCUUGCCAGUAAUGGCGGGUAAGGGUGAAAACGUGAGGUAAGAGCUCACGGCUUUUACGGGCGACCGUAAUUGCGGUAAACCUCAGGAGUUGAAAGACCAAAUAGGUCCUGAAAGUGGAGCUGCUCGCUCCCGUAUCCACCAUCGGUGGGUCGUCAGGAUGGGUAGGUUGAUUAAGAUUACCGGCAACGGUAAUACCAGAUUAAUGAUAGAAGCGCCCUCAAAGGCGAACAGAACCCGGCUUACAGGUUUGCAGCUGUA
RNAcentral lists this RNase P RNA (388 nucleotides) under Sphingobacteriaceae bacterium. Its description in RNAcentral is "RNase P RNA component class A". It matches the Rfam family "Bacterial RNase P class A". From Rfam's summary of the family: Ribonuclease P (RNase P) is a ubiquitous endoribonuclease, found in archaea, bacteria and eukarya as well as chloroplasts and mitochondria. Its best characterised activity is the generation of mature 5'-ends of tRNAs by cleaving the 5'-leader elements of precursor-tRNAs. Cellular RNase Ps are ribonucleoproteins. The record is from RNAcentral. Lineage: Bacteria; Pseudomonadati; Bacteroidota; Sphingobacteriia; Sphingobacteriales; Sphingobacteriaceae.